Molecule: ribosomal RNA, 378 nt
Filed under: uncultured bacterium
Lineage: Bacteria
Description: bacterial SSU rRNA
Rfam family: Bacterial small subunit ribosomal RNA
Source: RNAcentral
UAAUACGGAGGGUGCGAGCGUUGUCCGGAAUCACUGGGCGUAAAGGGCGCGUAGGUGGCCGUGGCAAGCGUGCGGUGAAAGCCCGGGGCUCAACCCCGGGUCGGCCGUGCGGACUGCCGGGCUGGGGCCCACUAGGGGCAGGCGGAAUUCCGGGUGUAGCGGUGGAAUGCGUAGAGAUCCGGAAGAACACCGGUGGCGAAGGCGGCCUGCUGGGGUGGAGCCGACACUGAGGCGCGACAGCGUGGGGAGCAAACAGGAUUAGAUACCCUGGUAGUCCACGCCGUAAACGAUGGGCACUAGGUGCUCGGGGGAGCGACCCUCCGAGUGCCGGCGCUAACGCAUUAAGUGCCCCGCCUGGGGAGUACGGCCGCAAGGCUG